GUAAAUGUAAGAAAGGAUUCAUUUCGCAACACCUACGGCUUCCACUAGAUGUCAACGAUCUUUAUAAAGUUGUUUGAAGCGUCUAUGAUAAACAGAGAGCAAAUUAGAAUCCAAGGAAGUUGACAUGUCAUCACUUCAUUUUUUUGCGCCUGCGCAUAAAUCUGAGAAACGUGAGUUUUGUCUUCAUUGUUUAUCUCGACAUAGGAUAGGUUGUGUGAAAAUAUUACUGAUGUUUAACGUUAAAAAUGGACCAAAAGAUUAAUGCUAAACAACAUUUGACAUGUUUGAACGAACAUAAAUAGAUUAUUUACUAGGUUUUUUUAGCUUUUCGGGCGUGAUUUUACAGUCCCCCACCAUGUUUUGUGGGAGCAUAAUGAACGCUAAGUACUUGGUGUUAUUUGGACAUAAAUUAUGAACUUUGUCAAAAGAAACCACAUUUGUUCCGGACCUGGGAUGCCUUCCGGACCUGGGAUGCCUGUCUUCUGAUGGAGAUAAUCAAAGCAGGAGGCGUCUCAGGACUUGGCAGACGGGCAGGAUUUGUUCCGGAAGGGUCUUGGAGAAGAUUAGGAUGUCAUCGAGAAUACUGCCUCACAAAAUGGAAGCAGCAGCCAACCGAGACAUCUUCCAGAUGGUCCAAUAACAGGAAGAUCUACUUCGCCAAGACCACGACCAGCUGGGGCAACUGGAGACGGCUAUGGAUGAGGUCCUCCGUGUUCUUCAACAUCUAGAUCUUCAUCAAGAGGACUCACCUCCAACGAGUCGGAGGAUCCUAUACCAUGAGUCGACCCAGAAAGCCAGCACUUCAGCCCAUUCAACAAUUCGCCCAGGUCAGCGAUGUCCGCUUGUCAAAUAUGAUGGGACUCCAUCUAAAUGCUGUGGCUUCCUCCUCCAGUGCUCCCUCUAUUUCACUCAUCAGAUGGGAGCCCCCCACCAACGAGAGGUCCAAGGUUGCAAUGGUUAUUUCCCUGCUGACCGGGCGGGCAUUGGAGUGUGCUACAGCCAUCUGGGAGAGAGAAGAUGAGGAGCUGGGUUCCUAUGACAGGUUCAAGGCUCUGUUCAGAGGAAUCUUUGAUCAUCCACCGGAGGGCAGAGUGGGGGGUGAGAGCCUACUCCAACUACGGCAGGAAUCCAGACCGCUGCGCAGUACGCCCUCACCUUCCGUACAGUGGCAGAAUACAGCGGAUGGAAUGAGGCGGCGCUCCGUACCUUAUUUAGAAGACAAUUGCGCAAAGAGGUCCAGACGGAGUUGCCAUGCAGAGACAACACCCUCUCGUUGGAUGCCAUCCAUCUAGAGCCUGAACCCAUGGAGGUAGGGGCCACAUGCCUCCCCGCGGCUGAGCGUGGCCAUCGGAGACGGCUUGGGCUCUGUCCCUUUUGUGGUCUGGAGGGGCACCAGCUUCAACGGUGUCCACUACGUCCCAACCCGGGAUCCACUAGAGCAGGGGGACGGCCCUGUGAUCAUCCUUCUCCUGGUGUAGGCGUGAGAAUUCUAUCAUCACUUUCCGUCAAACCCUUUUUAGUACCGAUUUCACUAGCUGGCUGUCCCUCAUGUGUUGUUUCUACAGUUCUAGUGGAUUCCGGUGCCGCGGGGACAUUUUAUUGACCAGGCCCUUGCUUCCCUCCCUUAACAUAACUUUAUACCCGCUCUCCUCUCCGUGGCAAGCGCUGGAUAAUUGACCACUGGGAUCUGGGACAAUCACACACAUCACAGAACCACUCACUAUCACAGUGGGACUCCUGCACCAGGAGAGCCCUUACUCAUCAUCAAGGCACCCAUACACAGCAGGUAGCCUAGUGGUUAGAGCGUUGGGCCAGUAACCGAAAUUCGAACUCCCGAGCUGACAAGUUUCAGAAAGCACACACACACACACACAGUACUGAAGAUAACUUGCCAACAUCAUAACUGGAACUGGACAUCUGUCUUGUUGAAGAUUGAGGACAGCUUUGUAUGCUAGCAACAUACUGUUUGGAGAGAUAGUAGGGAGGACGAGGGAGUGGAGAGGAUGAUGAGGGAGUGGGGUGGCGGUCCACCUUCCUUGUGGCUCUCUCUUCUCCUGUAUCUCCAAG
Molecule: long non-coding RNA, 2067 nt
Filed under: Salmo salar (Atlantic salmon)
Lineage: Eukaryota; Metazoa; Chordata; Actinopteri; Salmoniformes; Salmonidae
Description: lncRNA (ENSSSAG00000087558.1)
Source: RNAcentral